GAUGAACGCUGGCGGCGUGCCUAAUACAUGCAAGUAGAACGCUGAAGGAGGAGCUUGCUCUUCUGGAUGAGUUGCGAACGGGUGAGUAACGCGUAGGUAACCUGCCUGGUAGCGGGGGAUAACUAUUGGAAACGAUAGCUAAUACCGCAUGACAACAGUUAUUGCAUGAUAACUGUUUAAAAGGGGCAACUGCUCCACUACCAGAUGGACCUGCGUUGUAUUGGCUAGUUGGUGAGGUAACGGCUCACCAAGGCGACGAUACAUAGCCGACCUGAGAGGGGGAUCGGCCACACUGGGACUGAGACACGGCCCAGACUCCUACGGGAGGCAGCAGUAGGGAAUCGUCGGCAAUGGAUGGAAGUCUGACCGAGCAACGCCGCGGGAGUGAAGAAGGUUUUCGGAUCGUAAAGCUCUGUUGUAAGAGAAGAACGAGUGUGAGAGUGGAAAGUUCACACUGUGACGGUAUCUGACCAGAAAGGGACGGCUAACUACGUG
RNAcentral lists this ribosomal RNA (495 nucleotides) under uncultured bacterium. RNAcentral's name for it is "partial 16S ribosomal RNA". It matches the Rfam family "Bacterial small subunit ribosomal RNA", at positions 28 to 507 of the family's 1533-position model. The record is from RNAcentral.